GAAAAUGCCUCCAAAUUGGCAAUUUCCACAGUCCAGUUUCUUUUAAGUCCAACUUUGGCCCCCAAUGAGAACUGUGCAGGAGUCCCUGGAUAAAUGAAGGCAUAGUUCUCUACAAACAAUGGAGAUCAACAUUGACCUCCGCAGCAGUGGACUCUCAAUCUUGACUUUGACUUUGAGAAUUAUCAAAAAGUAGGGAUUUCAUGGACAUACGAUACCAGCUGCAAUGUUGGAAAGGAGACUAAUAGAUCUCUUGGAGAAAAUGAAAGGACAGUGGGAAGGAAGAGACCUCAAGGAUGCUGAGUGACGCAUUGGAAAGAAAACCACUCGAUGUCUGGAAUCAGUCCUGUAGAAGCUAUUCUCUCUCAACCUUAAGGAAUAUCCAGACAGAAACCACACUCUACUGUGACGAGUGAGCUGAACAGCGGAGAUGAAGAAAUGAAGGUUUGGUAUCAGCAUCUGCUCAGAAGGUGUGACCGUCAAAGAAGAGGCCGGGGGACAAGAUUGCAUGUUCACUAAGUGAGGAACCACACUCUACUACGACGAGUGAGCUGAAACAGUGGAGACGAGGACAGUGAAGGUUUGGUACAAGCAUCUGCUCAGAAGGUGUGACCGUCCGAGUAGAGGCCGGGGGACAAGAUUGCAUGUUCACUAAGGUGAGGUAACCAUUUUUUUGCAGCUGU
This is a long non-coding RNA of Acanthaster planci (crown-of-thorns starfish), 680 nucleotides long. RefSeq lists it as uncharacterized. NCBI's taxonomy places the organism in Eukaryota, Metazoa, Echinodermata, Asteroidea, Valvatida, Acanthasteridae. The record is from RefSeq and is a predicted model, not a curated record.